Molecule: non-coding RNA, 23 nt
Filed under: Arabidopsis thaliana (thale cress)
Lineage: Eukaryota; Viridiplantae; Streptophyta; Magnoliopsida; Brassicales; Brassicaceae
Source: RNAcentral
GAAGGUAUCGUCUGUUGUGGAUC